Molecule: ribosomal RNA, 254 nt
Filed under: uncultured prokaryote
Description: partial 16S ribosomal RNA
Rfam family: Bacterial small subunit ribosomal RNA
Source: RNAcentral
ACGGAGGGUGCGAGCGUUGUCCGGAAUCACUGGGCUUAAAGCGCGUGUAGGCGGGUCGUUGAGUGUCCGAGUGAAAUCCCACGGCUCAACCGUGGAACUGCCGGGCAUACUGGCGAUCUUGAGGCAUUCAGGGGCGAGCGGAACAAAUGGUGGAGCGGUGAAAUGCGUAGAUAUCAUUUGGAACGCCAAUGGUGAAAACAGCUCGCUGGGAAUGAUCUGACGCUGAGACGCGAAAGCCAGGGGAGCGAACGGGA